GUGUUAGUUCAGUGUUAGUUCAGUGUGUUAGUUCAGUGUUAGUUCAGUGUUAGUUCAGUGUUAGUUCAGUGUGUUAGUUCAGUGUUAGUUCAGUGUUAGUUCAGUGUUAGUUCAGUGUUAGUUCAGUGUUAGUUCAGUGUUAGUUCAGUGUGUUAGUUCAGUGUUAGUUCAGUGUUAGUUCAGUGUUAGUUCAGUGUUAGUUCAGUGUUAGUUCAGUGUUUCUUCAGUGUUUCUUCAGUGUUUCUUCAGUGUUAGUUCAGUGUUAGUUCAGUGUUAGUUCAGUGUUAGUUCAGUGUUUUAGUUCAGUGUUAGUUCAGUGUUAGUUCAGUGUUAGUUCAGUGUUAGUUCAGUGUUAGUUCAGUGUGUUAGUUCAGUGUUAGUUCAGUGUUAGUUCAGUGUUUUAGUUCAGUGUUAGUUCAGUGUUAGUUCAGUGUUAGUUCAGUGUUUCUUCAGUGUUAGUUCAGUGUUAGUUCAGUGUUAGUUCAGUGUUAGUUCAGUGUUUUAGUUCAGUGUUAGUUCAGUGUUAGUUCAGUGUGUUAGUUCAGUGUUUCGUUCAGUGUUAGUUCAGUGUUAGUUCAGUGUGUUAGUUCAGUGUUAGUUCAGUGUGUUAGUUCAGUGUUAGUUCAGUGUUAGUUCAGUGUUAGUUCAGUGUUUCUUCAGUGUUAGUUCAGUGUGUUAGUUCAGUGUUAGUUCAGUGUUAGUUCAGUGUUAGUUCAGUGUUAGUUCAGUGUUAGUUCAGUGUGUUAGUUCAGUGUUAGUUCAGUGUUAGUUCAGUGUUAGUUCAGUGUUAGUUCAGUGUUAGUUCAGUGUUUUAGUUCAGUGUUAGUUCAGUGUUAGUUCAGUGUUAGUUCAGUGUUAGUUCAGUGUUAGUUCAGUGUUUCUUCAGUGUUUCUUCAGUGUUAGUUCAGUGUUAGUUCAGUGUUAGUUCAGUGUUUUAGUUCAGUGUUAG
RNAcentral lists this long non-coding RNA (949 nucleotides) under Salmo salar (Atlantic salmon). RNAcentral's name for it is "lncRNA (ENSSSAG00000105345.1)". The record is from RNAcentral. Lineage: Eukaryota; Metazoa; Chordata; Actinopteri; Salmoniformes; Salmonidae.